Molecule: ribosomal RNA, 257 nt
Filed under: Staphylococcus sp. SKL70935
Lineage: Bacteria; Bacillati; Bacillota; Bacilli; Caryophanales; Staphylococcaceae
Description: partial 23S ribosomal RNA
Rfam family: Bacterial large subunit ribosomal RNA
Source: RNAcentral
CGUGUGCUUACAAGUAGUCAGAGCCCGUUUAUGGGUGAUGGCGUGCCUUUUGUAGAAUGAACCGGCGAGUUACGAUCUGAUGCAAGGUUAAGCAGCGAAUGUGGAGCCGUAGCGAAAGCGAGUCUGAAGAGGGCGUUGAGUAUUUGGUCGUAGACCCGAAACCAGGUGAUCUACCCUUGGUCAGGUUGAAGUUCAGGUAACACUGAAUGGAGGACCGAACCGACUUACGUUGAAAAGUGAGCGGAUGAACUGAGGGU